UCCGUAAGAUGGUAGCUUCGACAGAAGU
RNAcentral lists this non-coding RNA (28 nucleotides) under Bombyx mori (domestic silkworm). The record is from RNAcentral. Lineage: Eukaryota; Metazoa; Arthropoda; Insecta; Lepidoptera; Bombycidae.